Molecule: long non-coding RNA, 1397 nt
Organism: Manihot esculenta (cassava)
Lineage: Eukaryota; Viridiplantae; Streptophyta; Magnoliopsida; Malpighiales; Euphorbiaceae
Exons: 3
Source: RefSeq, a predicted model, not a curated record
GAUUUUUUCUACCAAAAAAAUAAAAAUCCAUUUGGCUGCUGAGAAAAUUUGAGGGAAACUUUAAAUUAAAUUUCAUUGUGCUUCCAGGGGCCCUAAUAAUGUAAGAGAAGAGGUGGGCCAGGCGGUCUUAACAAACUUUGUGGUGUUUCGCCUCAACUUGAGGCCAUUGUUGGGCAGCCAGCUCUGCCAAGGACCGAGGUUCAACACGCUUGCGCUUUCUUUUUAUGCGCUAAUUGCCGGUUUAUGGUCCGUUUAGGUUGCUGCUAAAUUUUCCCCAUGAUUGGGCUUUAGAUCGUGAAGCAGCUAUGGGUUACAUAAGGAAAAAACAAUCUUCAAGACCUAAGUAACAAAAGGAAAAUAAUUUGCAGCGAUGAGCUGCGCCUGGUGUUUGAGACGGACUGUGUGGAUGUGUUCAAGAUGAACAAGCUGCUGGCUAAACAUAUCAUUCCCCUCGAACCCACGAGUAUAUUUCCAUGUAUUUCAUCAUGGCUUUUCCAUUCUUGUUGCUGGUGCUGUGCUUUUAUGACUUGAAUAGAGAGUUUUCAUGUUUGUUUGUUUCUUAGAACAGCUGGGGUCUAAGAAGCAAAAGAUGGAUGAUGAGCUUGCAGCAAAACAAACUGUAUCUGCUCCUUCUGUAGCAAUUUCUGAAGAACUUGCAAAUUUUUUUGGUGUUGCUGUGAAAGAAAUGCUCCAAUCAGAGGUCUAGGGCCAUUGCGGGAAUACAUAGAUGUGAAUAAUUUGGAGGAUCCCCAUUGUCCAUUGGUGAUACCAUGUGAUGCAAAACUUCAAGAACUAUUUGGUUGUCAAAGCCUUCCUGCCUCAAGAAUACCAGAAGUUUUGGCACAGCAUCUUAUAUUUAGAACAUGGUAGUGGCUAAUCGCAGCUGGCUGACUUUUGGUGCCCACACCAACAAUCCAGCAUCAUGUCCGAGGUGUAAAUACUAGAUGUGGUUUCUUCAUCUAAACAGCAUUAAGAUAAUAAAUGAAUGGGGCUACAGGCGAGAAGAAGUUCUAAAGUGAAAUUGAUUGCAAGCUAUGGGUUCUGAUUGAAAUUGAUUGCAAGCUAAGGGUUCUGAUUUAUCUAAGUUGUUAUUUAAGUCAGAUUAACCAUUGGGAUUUUCUAACAACUGUAGCAUGUAUAUGUUAGGUCUGUAGGAAAAUAAAGUUGUAUAGAUGAGGAUUUCAACAAAAACACAUAUGAGAUGAGAUGUGUUAGUUGUUUGUGCAAUGGUAUUUUGUCUAUUACUUAGAUAUUGGUAUGAUUUUUCUUGAAGGGCUCAAUUCGCAUUGCUUAAUGCCCCUGAUAGGCUUGAGUUGAUGUUGCAUAGUUUCUCUAGAAUAUUACAAAAAUUGUAACUUAUUGGCUCAUAAUAUAUUGUAGUUAAGAGAUUGCUGACA